Astatotilapia calliptera (eastern happy) is the source of this 1013-nucleotide long non-coding RNA. NCBI's taxonomy places the organism in Eukaryota, Metazoa, Chordata, Actinopteri, Cichliformes, Cichlidae. The record is from Ensembl.
UCUAGUAAUGAUAAAGUUUUAUUCUGUAUAUACCUUAUUUGCACAUGAACAAAAACUUUUUUCUUUCCCAGGAUUAUAAACAUUGUUCUUUUUUUCUAUUGUACAUUUUUUGUUUUAACAUGACUCACUCUGGAAAAUCAAGUGUAACAUACUAAACCACAAUCAAGGGAGACUGACAGAGAGGCCCACUUAGACCCAUCUGAAGCUGAGACUGUCGAAGUACUUGGUGGCCUGCCGUAAAAAACAAAGGCAGAGAAAGACUGACCGACAGGCCCAUCAAUCAUCUGCCAGACUGGCAGGAAGGUAAUAGACACGCAUACACACAAAAGGUUCCAGAAAUAAAAAGGCCAACCCACACGAUCCACACCAAGAGCACCAACAGAAUCAAAAACACUUCAUAUCACAUCUAGAGUACAUUAUUCCUGAGGUGACAGCAUCUGAUUUUAGCACUUAAGAGUAGAAUGAAACAUCUGGAUGGCUGUGGAGGUUAUGUUCUUUCUCCAUUGUUUUCCAUGCAUCUCUAAAGGGAUUCUGUUUAAGCGUUUCAUCAGAUCAAAUUACUUCUUUGAGCAAAGCGACUGAAUCACCAUGCCAGCAUUUUUAGCUAAAUAACUACAUUUCAUGUAUACUUCAGAACAUUUAAUACUAGAGUUACUACACUACCAACUGUUUUGCAGUUUUGUUAACACUUGCAUGGACAUUGGUUUACAUUCAUUAAAGAUCAUUACAUUAAGUAAGUAUCAAGUUUCUUCUAUUUUAUAUUCAUACAAACGCAUGGAAACUAACUGCUGUCUGUAAUGUAGGGGUAAGACAAGACAAAUAACUACAGCAAUACUAGCUGCUUUAAGAUAAUAUAUUGUAGAGCGAUAUCUUAAGCUAACUGCUAACACUAAUAUGCAGCAUGCUCACAGUCACCAUUGUAUCAUGCUAAUGUUGGCAGGUAUUGUGUUUACCAUGUUCCUUUGUGAUUUCCUGUGUUAUAACUGUAACAUUUCCAAAUUACUAAUAAAAAC